GCGUUCCUGCUUGGUUUGUGUACGGCUUCCAAUAAUUGAUCCAACAGUCAAUGUCAUGGGGUCCGGCUCGUAAUCGCGCCGGUGAGCAAGCUCCGGCGGAAAGCCGCCAUGGAGAAGCCUAAAGGCGCGCGGAGGACUCCCCCCUUGAGUUCGGGGUCAAAUGACGGAGGCUAGGACGGCCCGGUGGUGCGCU
RNAcentral lists this non-coding RNA (193 nucleotides) under Acidobacteriota bacterium. RNAcentral describes it as "Acidobacteria bacterium 6S RNA". It matches the Rfam family "6S / SsrS RNA". From Rfam's summary of the family: E. coli 6S RNA was the first non coding RNA to be sequenced, but its function was unknown until recently. Lineage: Bacteria; Pseudomonadati; Acidobacteriota. The record is from RNAcentral.